Molecule: unclassified non-coding RNA, 162 nt
Filed under: uncultured Botryotinia
Lineage: Eukaryota; Fungi; Ascomycota; Leotiomycetes; Helotiales; Sclerotiniaceae
Description: sequence contains ITS1
Source: RNAcentral
CAGAGUUCAUGCCCGAAAGGGUAGACCUCCCACCCUUGUGUAUUAUUACUUUGUUGCUUUGGCGAGCUGCCUUUGGGCCUCGGGCUUUCAAGCUUGAGCACGCUCGCCAGAGGAUACCAAAACUCUUUUUAUUAAUGUCGUCUGAGUACUAUAUAAUAGUUA